AAUAGCAAACAGCUGGCCACACUGCUUGUGAGCCGCAGCCAUGGUGGCUCUAUUGGUCUCAGAAGCUGUUAAAAUAGUGCAGGGGAAAGAUCUAACUAUAUGGACUUCACAUGAUGUAGCUGGAAUUCUGGCUUCUAAGGGAGGCUUAUGGCUGCCUGACAACCGCUUACUCAAAUAUCAGACCUUAAUGCUCGAAGAGCCUGUGCUUCAGCUGCACACAUGUGCAGCCCUCAAUCCAGCUACAUUUCUUCCUAAGGAAGGGGCAGACAGAGAACAUGACUGUCGGCUCAAGAGGACCUUUUAGAAACUCCUCUAGCCAAUCCUGACCUUAACCUAUAUACUGACAGAAGUUCAUUUCUGGAAAAUGGAGUUUGAAAGGCAGGAUAUACGGUAGUCGGUGACCAAACAGUGCUUGAAAGGAAUUCCCUUCCUCCUGGAACUAGUGCCCAGCUGGCAAAACUAGUAGCCCUCACUUGAGCUCUAAACUUAGGAAAAGGAAAGAGAAUAAACACACACACACAGAUUCCAAACAUGCUUACCUGGUUUUGCACACCCAUGCUGCCAUUUGUGAGGAAAGAGAGCUCCUAACCUCGGCAGGAACGCCCAUUAAAUGUCAUAAGGGAAUUUUAGACUUAUUACAAGCUGUCCGAGAACACAAAGAGGCAUCAUUCUGACACUGCCAAGGCCACCAGAAAGGAGAUGAGAAGGAAGCAGAGGGCAAUAGCCGAGCUGAGCUAGAGGCAAAAAGGGCAGCCAGACGAGAAUUUAUAGAAGGACCUUUAAUAUGGGAAAACCCUGUCCAGGGAACUAGACCUCAGGACUCAUCAGAAGGGGUAGAGUGGGCAGUCUCCCAGGGACAUAAUCUUCCUUCAGAAUGGCUAGCUACUGAGGAGGGGAAAGUGCUCCUACCUGCUGCCAGCCAUGGAAAGUACUGAAAACCCUACAUCAAACCUUCCAUAGGGGCGUAGAAAAUACAUACCAAAUGCCCAAAUCUAUAUUUACAGAAAAAGGUCUCUUCAUGGCUGUCCAACAAAUAGUCAGAGGAUCUGAAAUAUGCCAGAAAAACAAUCCUUGGACACAUCGCAGAGUUCCUCUUGGGGAAGAGCUAACCGGUCAUUACCCAGAAUUGAGGCCACGAGGCUACAAAUGGUCCUGCAAAUGGAACCCCGGAUGUCCUUGGAUCACGGACCUCUGGAUUGACCUGCACCCCUGGAAGACUGCCUCUGGAGGAAACCUCAACUGCAGGGCCGCUUCUACGCCCCAGUUCAGCAGGAAGUAGUUAAUGAGUGAUCAACGCCCAUGUCCCAACAGCAAUUGGACUUUCCAGUUCAGAAGGGGAACUGAGGGACUGGGUUAAAGAAACUUCUCUUCCUGGGUCCGCUAGGGGAGGGGUUUCAAAUGCAGGAAUUUCCCAGCUCCUCACCUCAGGCAGCUGGGGCUCUUUGAGCACCUCCUCCACGUGGACCAGGUAAAAUUCUUUGUCUGAUCGUCCCGCUGCAGGAAAGCCAGGUGGGACUCUUUUGUCCCAAAUUCCGCAAAAAGCUCUUGGAGAAGGGGGCUCUGUAACUCGGGGUUGUAGACCAAGUAGCCAAUCUGGUAUCAGAGUCAAAGGUCAAUCACUCCAGAGGAAUUUUGAAAGAACUCCUCUCAUUGGACAAGAACAUGAAUUGGGAGGGAAUAACUCAAGGGUUAAAACUUCAGCUUCUCCUACCUGAAGGGAUAUCCCUCUCUGGGUUCUCUUUCCAUAACAGUGUGGGAGCUGUCUCUCUCUCUCUCUCUCUCUCUCUCUCUCUCUCUCUCUCUCUCUCUCUCUGUCUAAUAAAUCACUCUUCCACGAAACUCUUUGGGUCCACAAUUUUAUUUGGAUGGUAAACUCACUGCACCUCCAGGGCCCCUUUCCUCAUUCUUCAGGGUUAGAGAGGUCAAGAACCUACAAGCUGGGUACUCCCCCAGUAACAAUAUGGUUCUUUCUACAGAAAAUCCCAAGGAAUCUCAAAACAAACAAACAAAACCCUCUUGAAAUUGAUAAGCAGUUAUAGAAAGAUUGUAGGAUACCAAAGUCAAUUGCUUUCAGUUCUAUCUCUACAAUUUCCUAUAAAUAUAUAUAGUUACUUCAAAACAAAACCAAAAAAAUCUUAAAUGGAAAAAUGAAGUACUCCCAUAAACCACAAAUAUCUGUAAUCUUGCUUGGGUUUGAUAAAUAAGUGGUGAUAACUUACAAAAUGACAACAAGAAUUGCUGUUCUCUUUGGGAUAUAUCAAUGGGAGGUAAGCCAAGGGAUCCACAAAAACACCUGGAAAUGAAAUAAUUUAUUUGAAUAUUAACUUAUGCUGAAUCAUACACACACAUACACACAUGCAUACUCAACUGUAACCUCACCUUUUAAAUAAAAUUAGUAUUAACAUUUUGUUAUAUUUUCAUCCAGUAUUGUGUGUGUGCUAAAAAUGAAGAACUCUAAGACUUUACUGUUGAUAAUACCUGCAGAGUUUUUUUAAACAGAAACCUCUGGCGACACUCCAGAGUUUCUGACUCGGUAAAUCUAGGUGGAGUGCAAGAAUUCGCAUUGCUAACAAAGUUCCCAGGUAGUGCUGAUAAUAUUAAUAUGGGGAACAUGCCUUCAGAAUGCUUGACAAACACUAUAAUUCUCUUAUCUUUGUUUACAUUCCAUAAUAUAUUAUGAACCUGCUUUAUUGUUGAUCUUCAAAAACAUAAUUUUAAUAGAUUUAAAGGUUUCUAAUGUAUUUCUGUCCUGUAAUUUUAAAAUGUUUAUAUUUUUCUGGAGCUCCAAAGGAGCAAAAAUUACAGCUCCCUUUUUCUUUCGGUCUAAAUUUUGAAUUAAUUGAGAAAAUAAAACUAUAUAGUACAGCAGAAGAUCAAAAUAUCAUCUUUAUUAAGGAACAACUCUCUGAUAUUGGUAAGUGUGCCCAGUAUCUACAAGCAAGUCAGCUUCUGAAUACUAAAUUCAGGAAUUAGGCUAAACCUUUCCAUUCCAGCACUGGGAGUCUUGCACCAUCAUAGAUUCCCCUUGAUGGAAUACACCCAAAGGCAGUUUGGAGCAUAUGUGGGCUGCUUGAUUCCCAAGAGAAGAAUCCAUGGCUAUCUCCAUCAAGAUUAGGAAAAGAGCAACCUUUCAAUACAGUUCUACUCCACUUUCGUGAGGCUGUUCCACAGCACCAUGGUUUAACACAAAGUCACAUAAGAUACAACAGGUGAAAGAGCUAAGGACAAGCCACCCCAAAAUAUGCUGCUUUGACAUAUUAAUUAUUUCAAGUUGAAGACACUUGAGAAACAGCAAAUGCAGGAAGAGUCCUCUGAUGGCUCUUUCUACUGAAAACAAGACACAAAUUUUUCCAUGAGAAAGAUUCCCUCCCUGUGUCAGGAAGAGAAGGAUACCCUUCACACCAGACACUGGGAAUCAAUGCUGUACAAACAAACAUUCUAAAAUAACCCUUACCCUCCACUAGCUUUAUUCCCCACACACCAUGUAUCUCCUAGUGACUCUCCACAACUUACGGCUCCUAAACACUUUUGUCUUGUCAUUUCUUCACAAAUGUGUUGUUUAGGUCAGAAACAGAUACCCCAAAUUCAAUGUGUUAACAGGCUGAACAGAAGAAGCCUCAAGGCUUCUCUGACCUUCUCCCUCUGCUGUCUCUCCCAAGGAAGGUGAAGUUCCUUUGUCCAUACCUACUUCCCCUUCCUGUAAGGCCACAAAUGUGACCACACCAGAACAGACCCUUUCACUGUCAAAAAGAACUAUCUACUGUCAAAAAGAAAAGCUACUCUCAGUUCCAGAAUCCAUUCACUCUCCCUCAUAAUCCUUAGUGGCCCCUCAACGGAAUUCCUCUUCUCCCCUCUCCCAUAACCUGCUUGUCAGGAUGUUACGUAAGCUUCUAAACCCCAUUGCAAGGGGAGUAGUCACCCUGCAGUUCUCUCCAUGUGCACUUUCUGUCCAUAUCGCAUGAAGGUAGUUCACUUGUUAAAUAAAUUUGCGUGAUUUUCUCUUAUUAAGCUGUCUCGUAUCAGUGAUUUUUCAGUGAGCUUUCCCUACAGUAUCAUUUCUUCAUUUAAAAGAUAUAAAAGCUUUCUGUUCUCGUCACUUGUUCAGGUCUUUGUCCUCUUAGAAAGAUCCCCAUAUAUGUGGUGGCUUAUGCCUAUAAUCCCAGCACUUUGGGAGGCAAAGAUCGGUGGAUCACCUGAGAUCAAGAGUUUGAGACCAGGCUGGCCAACAUGGUGAAACCCUAUCUCUAUUAAAAAUACAAAAAAAAAAAAAAAAUUAGCUGGGUGUGGUGGUGGGUGCCUGUAAUCCCAGCUACUUAAGAGGCUGAGGAGGGAGAAUUGCUUGAACCCAGGAGGCAGAGGUUGCAGUGAGCCGAGAUCGCGCCACUUCAUUCAGCCUGAGUGCUGGAGCAAGACUCUGUCUCAAAAUAAAAAAGAUUAAUAAAGUUUGCAUGCUGUUCUCUGUUGAUCUGUCUUACAUUGGUUUCAUUUUUAGACUGAGCUGGAGACUCUGCGAGGAUAGAAAAUUUUUU
Long non-coding RNA from Callithrix jacchus (white-tufted-ear marmoset), 4529 nucleotides. The record is from Ensembl. NCBI's taxonomy places the organism in Eukaryota, Metazoa, Chordata, Mammalia, Primates, Cebidae.